GACGAACGCUGGCGGCGUGCUUAACACAUGCAAGUCGAACGGAAAGGCCCUGCUUUUGUGGGGUGCUCGAGUGGCGAACGGGUGAGUAACACGUGAGUAACCUGCCCUUGACUUUGGGAUAACUUCAGGAAACUGGGGCUAAUACCGGAUAGGAGCUCCUGCUGCAUGGUGGGGGUUGGAAAGUUUCGGCGGUUGGGGAUGGACUCGCGGCUUAUCAGCUUGUUGGUGGGGUAGUGGCUUACCAAGGCUUUGACGGGUAGCCGGCCUGAGAGGGUGACCGGCCAAAUUGGGACUGAGAUACGGCCCAGACUCCUACGGGAGGCAGCAGUGGGGAAUAUUGGACAAUGGGCGGAAGCCUGAUGCAGCAACGCCGCGUGCGGGAUGACGGCCUUCGGGUUGUAAACCGCUUUCGCCUGUGACGAAGCGUGAGUGACGGUAAUGGGUAAAGAAGCACCGGCUAACUACGUG
This 468-nucleotide ribosomal RNA is filed under the name uncultured bacterium. RNAcentral describes it as "partial 16S ribosomal RNA". It matches the Rfam family "Bacterial small subunit ribosomal RNA", at positions 28 to 507 of the family's 1533-position model. The record is from RNAcentral.